Molecule: non-coding RNA, 300 nt
Organism: Anas platyrhynchos (mallard)
Lineage: Eukaryota; Metazoa; Chordata; Aves; Anseriformes; Anatidae
Source: RefSeq, a predicted model, not a curated record
CCAGUCCCCUCCGCCCCCUAAAUGCGCCCCCAACCCCCAAAAUGCCCCCAGACCCCCCCCAAAUUGACCCCCCCCAAUUUAUUCCCCCCCCUCCAGCGCUUGCCUCCACCUGGCCGAGAUGCAGCAUCGGGUGCGGAAGGCGCUGGCAGAGUGCGAGCGGCUGCUGUGGGCACGGGCAUCCUGGCCCUGCAGCUGCCCCCGGGGGGCUCGACGCCGAGUCCUACAGCGCUUGCCUCCACCUGGCCGAGAUGCAGCAUCGGGUGCGGAAGGCGCUGGCAGAGUGCGAGCGGCUGCUGCUGG